This 253-nucleotide ribosomal RNA is filed under the name uncultured bacterium. RNAcentral describes it as "partial 16S ribosomal RNA". It matches the Rfam family "Bacterial small subunit ribosomal RNA", at positions 524 to 776 of the family's 1533-position model. The record is from RNAcentral.
UACGGAGGGAGCUAGCGUUGUUCGGAAUUACUGGGCGUAAAGCGCACGUAGGCGGCUCUGUAAGUUAGGGGUGAAAGCCUGGAGCUCAACUUCAGAGUUGCCCUUAAGACUGCAUCGCUUGAAUCCAGGAGAGGUGAGUGGAAUUCCGAGUGUAGAGGUGAAAUUCGUAGAUAUUCGGAAGAACACCAGUGGCGAAGGCGGCUCACUGGACUGGUAUUGACGCUGAGGUGCGAAAGCGUGGGGAGCAAACAGG